UACGUAGGUGGCAAGCGUUGUCCGGAUUUAUUGGGUUUAAAGGGUGCGUAGGUGGUCUAUUAAGUCAGUGCUGAAAUAUCCCGGCUUAACCGGGAGGGUGGCAUUGAUACUGAUGGACUUGAGUAAAGUUGAGGUAGGCGGAAUUGACGGUGUAGCGGUGAAAUGCUUAGAUAUCGUCAAGAACACCUAUAGCGAAGGCAGCUUACUAAGCUUUAACUGACGCUGGGGAGCGAAAGCGUGGGGAGCGAACAGG
Molecule: ribosomal RNA, 253 nt
Filed under: uncultured bacterium
Lineage: Bacteria
Description: partial 16S ribosomal RNA
Rfam family: Bacterial small subunit ribosomal RNA
Source: RNAcentral